ACUCGCUUGUUUACAGCAACAGUAUUCAGAUAGUUAUUGCUCUUGCAAUUUAUCGGUUGGCCAUGUCAAAUCCAACGAAAGUUUAGCAAAAAAUACCUGAAUCUCUUUUCAAAGACUACAUUUCCACAUUGUCCCAUGAGUCUUCAUUGUUACAUGUCUGCUGACUGAAGUGACAGAAUUCUAACAGCCUCAAAGCCUAUGCCGGGAGUCAUGGCUGUAUCCCCCAGGGAUGACGUGUUUGAGGAUCCCGUCUUCUGGGAAAGGGAAAGUGACCACCUGCUGGGAGAAGGUGGCCUCAAGCCGUCAAGCCUUACUAGUUACAGGCCACAUAAUGACAUCCUGAGCCACUGAGCAGCCAACUGGGAACCAGAGCAGUCAAAUCUUUGUGAGAGGUUCUGACAAUGUGACACAGGUGAGUGACUGGGCCACUCCACCUGGCUGAUCCCAGCACUGGGACGUGGAAGCAUCAACCACAGGACAAGGCCUUCUUCCAAGGGCGGUGUCUCAAGCUGCACUAAUCUAGUUCCAGCAGAGACAUGCACAAGGAAGCAACACCAUUUCUCAGGAAAUCCUGGCCGUGCUGCUGGUAGAAGCAGUGCCGCACACCAUGGGGCAACUAAUAGUUUCUGGUAAAUGUGGAUUUCUGCGGCUCUUCUGGAAAGGUGAAUGACUGAAGUGCUUCCUUCCCACACUUGCCCCCAGAGCAUUUUACAAAGCUGUUUCAAAAGACUACUUUUACUUUGUGGCCUAUUUUUCUGAGAGUCAGAUUAGAGAUGUGGCAACAGUAGACAUGUUUCUCCUAAAAGUAGCUUUGGGCAAUCACCACAGAGUCUUAAAAAAAAAAAAAAAAAAAAAGACUUUUCCUUCUAUCAAGGGGAAGAGUAAUACAGCUUGUUUCAGAAGAGAAGACGAACUUGAACCUUUCCUGUGUGAGCUUUGUAGCCCCGGGAACAGUCUGAUGAAAGGCCAUCUUUAAAUAAUUCUUCAGGAUGAUGUUUUCACUGGUUCAAGCUUCUCAUUAAGGGAAUACCUGCAUACAGCUAACGGAAUCCAGGUGUGUAAUCCAGAACAGAAGUGCCGGGUGUGGGGUGCAGCUCAGUGCUAGGGCAUGUGCUAAGCACGUGUGAGGACCUGGGUUCAAUCCCCAACACUACUCCCCCCAAAACCAGAAAUGCAUUCCCCAGGAAGCUAAAGAUACAGUGGCAACCAGAGUCAAGCAUCAUUUCAGGCAGGGGUUGUGUCACAGUAGGUUUAGCGGUGCCCAGAGUUUCCGGCACAAAGCCCUGUACCUCAUAGGAGCUCAAAGAUACCUCUUGGAUGAAACAGUAAAUGAGAUGGCUUCAGGGGACAGGGAGGGAACUUACAAGGGGAGCAUAAUCCUCCUGCCUCCAACUGCUGCUGGUAACAUGCUGGAAAGAUCCGUGAAAGGCAAAAUCAAUUUUAACCUGAGUGAAGGAUGUGAGAGAUUUGACUGAAAAAAUUCAUUUUCAGAAAUUGCUCAGAAAACAUAUUAAAAAGAAAAAGGGAAAUUAUCCUUUUAAAUAGGUAUUGAAAUAUAUUCUAAAGUAAUAAAAAUGAAAAAUGUUUGGCACUAGCAUGAACCAGUGAAAUAGCAUAGAACGUGCAAAUCAACCCCUAACAUGGAAGAUUACUAUAUGAUGUAGGAAACAAUUCAAAUCAAUAGGGGAAAAAGUGAUUGUUCAAUAAACAAUGCUGGGACACUUAGCUAGAUAACUGGCAAAAAACAAAACCUGGAUCCCUAUUUCAUUCCUUAUUACAAACUGAAUUUCAGAAGAAGGAAUUUAAAGGUAAAAUUCACACACCACCACUAGAAGAAACUAUGGCUAAAGAUUCAAAAUAGCAUGCCAAAAUGUUCAGACUUUUUUUAAGAUGGAGAAUUUGACUACGUAAAAACUUUUAACAUGUAUCUGGGAGAAAACAUAAUAGUCAAAAUGAAACUGACAAAAAAAAAAAAAAAACAGACUGUCACCUAAGUAACCUGGGUUUAAUGUUCUUUGUAUUCAUUGAGCUCUAACAUAUUCAUAAGAAAAAGACAAACACCCUAUCUCUUCACUCACCCAUAUAAGAAAGGAUAAAAACAGUAAGGAAAUAGAAAAAGAAAAAAGAAUACACCCGAAACACAUUAAAAAGAUGUUCAAUCUCUUUCCUAAGUAAAGAAAUGUCAAUUAAAAUAUGAUAGAUCUUUUACCUAUUAGAUUAGCAAAGAUCAAAACAUCUGAUAAUACUCAGUACUAGUGAAAACACAAUAAAACUGUCACUUACAUGAGUGGUAAGAAUGUAAUUGGUUUAAUAAUUUUGGUGGUAAUUAGGCAAAAACAACUGAGCUAUUCUACUUGAAGAAAUGCAUCCCACAGAUAAGCCUAUAUUAGAUUUGUAUGUAUAAAUGUAUAUGCAAGAAUGUUCAGGGCCAUAUUGUUAAUGAGAGUUGUUAAUAUUUAUACGAGGUCAGCUAGGUGCUGAGGAUUACCCCUGUAGUUCCAGCUACUUAGGAGGCUGAGGCAGAAGGUCCCUUGAACCAGGAGAUCAAGGGCCAGCCUGUUCAACACAGCAAGACACCAUAUAAGGGGGAUGGGGAGGGGAGGGGUGGAGAGGAGGAGAAAGAGAAAAUGAAAGAAAAGAAGUUACGGAAGGUCAUGGGUUUGGACUCAGCUCCUGCAUGAGGUACAACAGAGUCCCUCAGUUGACACUUCAGGUCACCAGACUGAAACUAAGUUGUUUGUCAGACCCGAGAAAGCAAGGGAAAGAUGAGAGCCAAAUUCCUGAACAGGCCAGUUUUUGCA
This is a non-coding RNA of Urocitellus parryii (Arctic ground squirrel), 2801 nucleotides long. NCBI's taxonomy places the organism in Eukaryota, Metazoa, Chordata, Mammalia, Rodentia, Sciuridae. The record is from RefSeq and is a predicted model, not a curated record.